RNAcentral lists this ribosomal RNA (504 nucleotides) under uncultured Lachnospiraceae bacterium. RNAcentral describes it as "bacterial SSU rRNA". It matches the Rfam family "Bacterial small subunit ribosomal RNA", at positions 11 to 507 of the family's 1533-position model. Lineage: Bacteria; Bacillati; Bacillota; Clostridia; Lachnospirales; Lachnospiraceae. The record is from RNAcentral.
GUUUGAUCCUCGGCGUCAGGAUGAACGCUGGCGGCGUGCCUAACACAUGCAAGUCGAGCGAAGCACUUAAAAUAGGAUUCUUCGGAUGUAAGCUUUAUGUGACUGAGCGGCGGACGGGUGAGUAACGCGUGGGCAACCUGCCUUACACAGGGGGAGUAACAGUUAGAAAUGACUGCUAAUACCGCAUAAGACCACAGGGCUGCAUGGCCUGGUGGCAAAAACUCCGGUGGUGUAAGAUGGGCCCGCGUCUGAUUAGGUAGUUGGCGGGGUAACGGCCCACCAAGCCGACGAUCAGUAGCCGACCUGAGAGGGUGACCGGCCACAUUGGGACUGAGACACGGCCCAGACUCCUACGGGAGGCAGCAGUGGGGAAUAUUGCACAAUGGGGGGAAACCCUGAUGCAGCGACGCCGCGUGAGUGAUGAAGUAUUUCGGUAUGUAAAGCUCUAUCAGCAGGGGAAGAAAAAUGACGGUACCUGACUAAGAAGCCCCGGCUAACUACGUG